RNAcentral lists this unclassified non-coding RNA (279 nucleotides) under plant metagenome. RNAcentral's name for it is "partial contains small subunit ribosomal RNA, internal transcribed spacer 1, and 5.8S ribosomal RNA". The record is from RNAcentral.
UUUCCGUAGGUGAACCUGCGGAAGGAUCAUUAUCGAGUUAGGGUCUCUGGCCCGCCCUCCAACCCUGUGUCUACUAUACCAUGUUGCUUUGGCGGGCCCGCGUUCGUCGCCGCCGAGGGGUUGAACCCCCUGGGCCAGUGCCCGCCGAUUGGCCCCUCUUAAACGCUUGAUCAACCGUGAAUGUCUGAGUAAAAAAAAAAUCAAGCAAAAAACUUUCAAAAACGGAACACUUGGUUCCGGAAUCGCUGAAGAAAGCAGUAGACUGGAAGUGCACACGUC